RNAcentral lists this non-coding RNA (28 nucleotides) under Bombyx mori (domestic silkworm). The record is from RNAcentral. Lineage: Eukaryota; Metazoa; Arthropoda; Insecta; Lepidoptera; Bombycidae.
UCAUAUCAUGGUGGUAGUCAGCAGAUGU